RNAcentral lists this small nuclear RNA (101 nucleotides) under Suricata suricatta (meerkat). The record is from RNAcentral. Lineage: Eukaryota; Metazoa; Chordata; Mammalia; Carnivora; Herpestidae.
GUGCUCAUUUUGGCAGCACCUAUACUAAAAUUGGAAUGAUACAGAGAAAAUUAGCAUGGCCCCUGCCAGGAUGACUGGCUAUAUUUGUUUUCUCUCCCUUU